Molecule: small nuclear RNA, 109 nt
Organism: Chlorocebus sabaeus (green monkey)
Lineage: Eukaryota; Metazoa; Chordata; Mammalia; Primates; Cercopithecidae
Source: Ensembl
GUUUUCUUGUCUCAGCAGCACAUAUACCAAAAUUGAAUCAAUACAUAGAAGAUUAGCAUGCUCCCUGCACAGUGAGGACAUGCAAAUUCUUAAAGUGUCCCGUAUUUUU